Molecule: ribosomal RNA, 2070 nt
Filed under: Salmonella enterica subsp. enterica serovar Typhimurium
Lineage: Bacteria; Pseudomonadati; Pseudomonadota; Gammaproteobacteria; Enterobacterales; Enterobacteriaceae
Description: partial 23S ribosomal RNA
Rfam family: Bacterial large subunit ribosomal RNA
Source: RNAcentral
GGUUAACGGAGCGAAAGCGACGUUCAACCGCAAAACAAGCAGAGGGGGCUUAGUGGUGGGGUGACUGCGUACCUUUUGUAUAAUGGGUCAGCGACUUAUAUUCUGUAGCAAGGUUAACCGAAUAGGGGAGCCGGAGGGAAACCGAGUCUUAAUUGGGCGUUAAGUUGCAGGGUAUAGACCCGAAACCCGGUGAUCUAGCCAUGGGCAGGUUGAAGGUUGGGUAACACUAACUGGAGGACCGAACCGACUAAUGUUGAAAAAUUAGCGGAUGACCUGUGGCUGGGGGUGAAAGGCCAAUCAAACCGGGAGAUAGCUGGUUCUCCCCGAAAGCUAUUUAGGUAGCGCCUCGUGAAUUCAUCUCCGGGGGUAGAGCACUGUUUCGGCUAGGGGGCCAUCCCGGCUUACCAACCCGAUGCAAACUGCGAAUACCGGAGAAUGUUAUCACGGGAGACACACGGCGGGUGCUAACGUCCGUCGUGAAGAGGGAAACAACCCAGACCGCCAGCUAAGGUCCCAAAGUCAUGGUUAAGUGGGAAACGAUGUGGGAAGGCCCAGACAGCCAGGAUGUUGGCUUAGAAGCAGCCAUCAUUUAAAGAAAGCGUAAUAGCUCACUGGUCGAGUCGGCCUGCGCGGAAGAUGUAACGGGGCUAAACCAUGCACCGAAGCUGCGGCAGCGAACGUAUCACCCAAGACAACUUUACGGAGUUGACGAUUGACGGAGCGAAGCGACGUCAAAGCGUUCAUUAAAGUCGAGUUGGCUUAGGGAUACGUUCGUUGGGUAGGGGAGCGUUCUGUAAGCCUGUGAAGGUGUGUCGUGAGGCAUGCUGGAGGUAUCAGAAGUGCGAAUGCUGACAUAAGUAACGAUAAAGCGGGUGAAAAGCCCGCUCGCCGGAAGACCAAGGGUUCCUGUCCAACGUUAAUCGGGGCAGGGUGAGUCGACCCCUAAGGCGAGGCCGAAAGGCGUAGUCGAUGGGAAACGGGUUAAUAUUCCCGUACUUGGUGUUACUGCGAAGGGGGGACGGAGAAGGCUAUGUUGGCCGGGCGACGGUUGUCCCGGUUUAAGCGUGUAGGUGUGUGUUCCAGGUAAAUCCGGUUCACUUUAACACUGAGGCGUGACGACGAGGCACUACGGUGCUGAAGCAACAAAUGCCCUGCUUCCAGGAAAAGCCUCUAAGCAUCAGGUAACACGAAAUCGUACCCCAAACCGACACAGGUGGUCAGGUAGAGAAUACCAAGGCGCUUGAGAGAACUCGGGUGAAGGAACUAGGCAAAAUGGUGCCGUAACUUCGGGAGAAGGCACGCUGACACGUAGGUGAAGUGAUUUACUCAUGGAGCUGAAGUCAGUCGAAGAUACCAGCUGGCUGCAACUGUUUAUUAAAAACACAGCACUGUGCAAACACGAAAGUGGACGUAUACGGUGUGACGCCUGCCCGGUGCCGGAAGGUUAAUUGAUGGGGUCAGCGCAAGCGAAGCUCCUGAUCGAAGCCCCGGUAAACGGCGGCCGUAACUAUAACGGUCCUAAGGUAGCGAAAUUCCUUGUCGGGUAAGUUCCGACCUGCACGAAUGGCGUAAUGAUGGCCAGGCUGUCUCCACCCGAGACUCAGUGAAAUUGAACUCGCUGUGAAGAUGCAGUGUACCCGCGGCAAGACGGAAAGACCCCGUGAACCUUUACUAUAGCUUGACACUGAACAUUGAGCCUUGAUGUGUAGGAUAGGUGGGAGGCUUUGAAGUGUGGACGCCAGUCUGCAUGGAGCCGACCUUGAAAUACCACCCUUUAAUGUUUGAUGUUCUAACGUGGACCCGUAAUCCGGGUUGCGGACAGUGUCUGGUGGGUAGUUUGACUGGGGCGGUCUCCUCCUAAAGAGUAACGGAGGAGCACGAAGGUUGGCUAAUCCUGGUCGGACAUCAGGAGGUUAGUGCAAUGGCAUAAGCCAGCUUGACUGCGAGCGUGACGGCGCGAGCAGGUGCGAAAGCAGGUCAUAGUGAUCCGGUGGUUCUGAAUGGAAGGGCCAUCGCUCAACGGAUAAAAGGUACUCCGGGGAUAACAGGCUGAUACCGCCCAAGAGUUCA